Long non-coding RNA from Pseudopipra pipra, 2176 nucleotides. RefSeq lists it as uncharacterized. The record is from RefSeq and is a predicted model, not a curated record. NCBI's taxonomy places the organism in Eukaryota, Metazoa, Chordata, Aves, Passeriformes, Pipridae. The transcript has 2 exons.
GAAGGCGAAAGGGUCGAGCGAAAAAGAGCUCAACUUGCCGCCGCCGGACGCCUCCCUUCCGGGGAUUUUGGACGGCGAAAGAGUUAAGUUCCGCGCUCCUAGCAACGAAAUAGUUGGACCCAGCGCCCGGGACGACUAUUGAAGAAGGGGGCCCGCCGACAAAGCCGCAAAGUCUCGUGGAAAGGGCUGCACAAAGCGUGGUACCCUGUGGGUUCCCAGUCGUUGGGUCAAACCAGCGAUUGAGAGCCCUGGAGAACGAGGAGGAGAGACACCUGCGGUGCCUGCAGCCUCACCUGACCUUACACCACCACUUCCAGCCUCUUCAACACCUGAUUCCCCUGCACCUGCUGAAGAGGGAGACACUGGAACAACAUCUGAAUUAACUGAGUAACUGUACACAAAGGAACUGCAAGACUUACGUGCCCGAACUUGAUUUACUGUUUUUGUGCAUUAGUAUAGCAAAGAUGUUAGGAUUUCUGUCUAUUUCAUUGUACGGCUAUGUAAAAGGUUUUCUUCUUUUCACGGGUAUGAUUGCCAAUGUUGAGGCUCUUCACACCAUUGACCCUCGGAAAAAUAUAUGGGUCACCUGGGCAAAUCAAACAGGACAAUCAUCCUUUUGCUUGUCCUUGGCAUCUGCCUCAGAUCCUUUUCGUACUUGCUUAUUUGGUAUGCCUUUUAACUCGGUAUAUAAGUUAAACUCACUAUUUGCUGGUUGGGUUUCAUCAUCGUGUGGGAAUGAAAUAAUUAUCUCUAAUACAUCUGCGUGCCUUAUAAAAGCUCUCAAUACCUCUUUACCCCAGAGUCCCCAAGAGUUAGACUUAAUGGGAUCAUUGUCUGUACGUAAUACAAGUGAUAAUGGGACUCAAACUUGCUUUAUGCUGGGAACAUUUCAUUCUGGGUUAAGUGCACAUCAAAACCAUGAUUUGUCUAGAUGGACUAAUGUCACUUCACGUACCCCAGGGUUUAAUUAUAAAAAUGUAGGAGACUAUUGUGGCACUAACAAUACUAACAACCAGGGCCUUGGGGCAUAUGGAGCUGAAGUCAAACCUUCCUCACCAGGUAUUUGGGUUAACAACACUGCACGUGCCUUACCACUAGGUGUAUUUCUUAUUUGUGGUGACAGAGCUUGGCCUGGCAUUCCUGUACGUGCCUUCGGAGGGCCCUGCUAUAUAGGGUCACUUACGCUGUUAUCCCCAUCCUUUUUACAGCUUUUUAAUCUAACUUCAUCACGCAGACAAAAGAGGAGCCUAAACCAACUUUCCUCAGAUUGUGAUGACAAAGUAGAGCUAUGGGGUAAAACAGCUACUGUCUUUGGAUCUAUUGUCCCAGGUGUAGGCACGGCACAGGCAUUAACAUCCAUUCGCAAACUUGCAUGCUGGGCUGUAAAACAAUCAAAUGUCACCACCCGAGUAAUAGCAGAACUUGCACAAGACAUUGGUAGUUUACGUCAUGCCGUCCUACAAAAUCGAGCUGCUAUUGAUUUUCUGUUGUUAGCACAAGGCCAUGGUUGUAAGGACUUUGAUGGUAUGUGCUGUUUUAAUCUUUCAGAUCACAGUAACUCCAUACAUAAACAACUACAAUGGUUAACAGAUCAUACAAAGAAAGUGACAGUAGCAACUAGUCCUAUAGACUCAUGGCUUUAAUCUAUCUUUGGUUCUAUAUCUGAAUGGGCUCUAAGUUAUAUUAAAGAAGGCCUACGGUGGAUAUUGACAGUUAUUGUAAUCGUAGUAGUAACUCGUGUUGCCUUUUCUUGUAUUACUAGACAUGUAAAUACUACGACAAAGAAAGCAUUCUUGGCCCAAAAUAAAAACGGGGGAAUUAUAGAGGAUUGGUUAGAAAUGCGAGGACAUAUGAACAUCGCUAAGGCUAUGGAUGAGCUGCUAAAGUACAAGACGCAGUCUGACUAGGCCCAUGAGAAAGUUUGAGAUAGCAGGGCCGUGAGAAAGCAGCAGCGUCCUUGGGUAUUCUAAAUUGAGCUCAAAAACAGGAGCUAGGCAUUUGCAAAACAAAGACACUUAACGAGCCACCUGUGUAAACAAUAGAAGGCAGUUGAGAUGGUAUCACCACCUAACUGGGCACCAAUAAUGAGCCUAAUUUCUGUAAUAUUCAUGAACCUAUUAUAGAGUGUAUAUUAAGCUGUUGUCAAUCUACAAUAAACGAAGUUCCUGGAUUCUCA